RNAcentral lists this ribosomal RNA (373 nucleotides) under uncultured bacterium. RNAcentral describes it as "bacterial SSU rRNA". It matches the Rfam family "Bacterial small subunit ribosomal RNA", at positions 29 to 429 of the family's 1533-position model. The record is from RNAcentral.
AACGAACGCUGGCGGCAGGCCUCAAACAUGCAAGUCUAGGGGGUGUAGCAAUACAUCACCGGCGGACGGGUGCGUAACGCGUGGGAAUAUACCUAUCGAUUCGGAACAACUGAGGGAAACUUCAGCUAAUACCGAAUACGUCCUAACGGAGAAAGAUUUAUCGUCGAUAGAUUAGCCCGCGUUCGAUUAGCUAGUUGGUGGGGUAACGGCCCACCAAGGCGACGAUUGAUAGCUGUUCUGAGAGGAAGAUCAGCCACACUGGGACUGAGACACGGCCCAGACUCCUACGGGAGGCAGCAGUUGGGAAUCUUGGACAAUGGGGGAAACCCUGAUCCAGCCAUGCCGCGUGAGUGAUGAAGGCCUCGGUCGUAAG